Molecule: ribosomal RNA, 301 nt
Filed under: uncultured bacterium
Lineage: Bacteria
Description: partial 16S ribosomal RNA
Rfam family: Bacterial small subunit ribosomal RNA
Source: RNAcentral
CAGUCGCCGCGGGAAUACGAAUGGGGCUAGCGUUGUUCGGAAUUACUGGGCGUAAAGGGCGCGUAGGCGGCCAUUCAAGUUAGAUGUGAAAGCCCUGGGCUCAACCUAGGAAUUGCAUUUGAUACUGUUUGGCUUGAGUUCGGGAGAGGUGAGUGGAAUUCCCAGUGUAGAGGUGAAAUUCGUAGAUAUUGGGAAGAACACCGGUGGCGAAGGCGGCGACCUGGUCCUUGACUGACGCUGAGGCGCGAAAGCGUGGGGAGCAAACAGGAUUAGAUACCCGCGUAGUCCCUGUCUCUUAUAC